This 58-nucleotide microRNA precursor is filed under the name Tribolium castaneum (red flour beetle). RNAcentral describes it as "Tca-Mir-2-P7_pre stem-loop". It matches the Rfam family "mir-11 microRNA precursor family", at positions 10 to 72 of the family's 78-position model. The record is from RNAcentral. Lineage: Eukaryota; Metazoa; Arthropoda; Insecta; Coleoptera; Tenebrionidae.
UGGGAUUCUGACUGUGACCUGUGUGUGUCUGAUUCACAUCACAGGCAGAGUUCUAGCU